Molecule: ribosomal RNA, 220 nt
Filed under: uncultured bacterium
Lineage: Bacteria
Description: partial 16S ribosomal RNA
Rfam family: Bacterial small subunit ribosomal RNA
Source: RNAcentral
UUAGCUUGGGAAGUCUGGCUUAUGGAGGGGGGUAACUACGGGAAACUGUAGCUAAUACCGCGUAGUAUCGAGAGAUGAAAGUGCGGGACCGCAAGGCCGCAUGCCAUGAGAUGAGCCCAAGUGGGAUUAGGUAGUUGGUGGGGUAAAGGCCUACCAAGCCUGCGAUCUCUAGCUGGUCUGAGAGGAUGGCCAGCCACACUGGAACUGAGACACGGUCCAG